RNAcentral lists this transfer RNA (72 nucleotides) under Myxococcales bacterium. RNAcentral's name for it is "tRNA-Cys". It matches the Rfam family "tRNA". From Rfam's summary of the family: Transfer RNA (tRNA) molecules are approximately 80 nucleotides in length. Their secondary structure includes four short double-helical elements and three loops (D, anti-codon, and T loops). Further hydrogen bonds mediate the characteristic L-shaped molecular structure. tRNAs have two regions of fundamental functional importance: the anti-codon, which is responsible for specific mRNA codon recognition, and the 3' end, to which the tRNAs corresponding amino acid is attached (by aminoacyl-tRNA synthetases). tRNAs cope with the degeneracy of the genetic code in two manners: having more than one tRNA (with a specific anti-codon) for a particular amino acid; and 'wobble' base-pairing, i.e. permitting non-standard base-pairing at the 3rd anti-codon position. The record is from RNAcentral. RNAcentral also lists the same sequence under 1 other name. Lineage: Bacteria; Pseudomonadati; Myxococcota; Myxococcia; Myxococcales.
GGCCUGGUCGCCAAGUGGUAAGGCAGAGCUCUGCAAAAGCUCCACGCGCCGGUUCAAAUCCGGCCCAGGCCU